ACUACCAGGGUAUCUAAUCCUGUUUGCUCCCCACUUUUUCGUGCAUGACGUCAGUGUUGUCCCAGGAGGCUGCCUUCGCCAUCGGUGUUCCUCCGCAUAUCUACGCAUUUCACUGCUACACGCGGAAUUCCACCUCCCUCUGACACACUCUAGCUCGGUAGUUAAAAAUGCAGUUCAAAGUUAAGCUCUGGGAUUUCACAUCUUUCUUUCCGAACCGCCUGCGCCCACGCUUCCGCCCAGUAAUUCCGAUUAGCAGCACCCUACGUAUUACCGCGGCUGCUACAGCGUAGUUAUCGGUGCUUAUUCUGCAGGUACCGUCAAUUGCGGAAUGUGCUCGUAUGAUUUUCUUUCCUGCCAAAGUGUACUAAACCCGAGAGCCUUCAUCGCACGCGGGAUGGCUGGAUCGGGGUUUCCCCAUUGUCCAAAAUUCCCCACUGCUGCCCCCCAUCA
This 450-nucleotide unclassified non-coding RNA is filed under the name uncultured Bordetella sp. Its description in RNAcentral is "partial 16S-23S ribosomal RNA intergenic spacer". The record is from RNAcentral. Lineage: Bacteria; Pseudomonadati; Pseudomonadota; Betaproteobacteria; Burkholderiales; Alcaligenaceae.